GACGAACGCUGGCGGCGUGCCUAAUACAUGCAAGUCGAACGCAGUGGGGACGGGUGCGUAACACGUUGGUCACCUACCAUCAGAGGGGAUAACACUUGGAAACAGCUGCUAAACCGAUACUGAUGGAUGGACCCGAGGUGCAUUAGCUAGUUGGUGAGGUAACGGCUCACCAGGGCCCAGAUGCAUAGCCGACGUGGACGGGUGACAUGCCGCACUUGAACUGAGACACGGCCCAGAGUUCUACGGGAGGCAGCAGUAGGGAAGUGUCGGCAAUGGACGAAAGUCUGACCGAGCAACGCCGCGUGAGUGAAGAAGGUUUUCGGAUCGUAUAACUCUGUUGUUAGAGAAGCGGUAUCUAACCAGAAAGCCACGGCUAACUACAUGCCAGCAGCCGCGGUAAUAC
Molecule: ribosomal RNA, 403 nt
Filed under: uncultured bacterium
Lineage: Bacteria
Description: partial 16S ribosomal RNA
Rfam family: Bacterial small subunit ribosomal RNA
Source: RNAcentral